This 376-nucleotide long non-coding RNA is filed under the name Spirodela polyrhiza (greater duckweed). Its description in RNAcentral is "long non-coding RNA (SPOL_LNC000049)". The record is from RNAcentral. Lineage: Eukaryota; Viridiplantae; Streptophyta; Magnoliopsida; Alismatales; Araceae.
UGGGGGAGUCGGCCAUUUCUCGGGCGCCUCAUGAUCCUGGGAGCUUCAACUGCUUUGAUGGCGUUUCAUCCGAGUCCUGGAGGACCGUGAACUCGAUCGAAGAGGGCAUUCUGUCCCUGGCAGUGGGGGAUAGGCGCUUGGAUCCACUCCUGGAUUCAAGAGCUCUGCACGUCAGGAUUUCUUUUUCCGACGAUGACCCUCUUGGAGAGGUGAAGUAUACGGUUACCUGCUACUACGCGAGAUGGUUUGACGAAUUGAGGAGAAGCUGUUGUCCGUCAGAGCUGGAUUUCGUCAGGUCAAUCUGUCGCUGUAAGAAGUGGGGGGCGCAGGGCGGCAAGAGCAACGUCUUCUUCGCCAAAUCGUUGGAUGAUAGAUU